Molecule: long non-coding RNA, 259 nt
Organism: Fukomys damarensis (Damara mole-rat)
Lineage: Eukaryota; Metazoa; Chordata; Mammalia; Rodentia; Bathyergidae
Exons: 3
Source: RefSeq, a predicted model, not a curated record
CACGCACUCAUGACAGAAAAUACUGCACAAAUAUGAACGUGAUUAAUCUGCAAGAAUAGCUUCAAAACAGGCAGCAAGUUGUUUGGAGUUUACAGCUCACUUCCCCACCUAACAACCAGUCAAGCUUCCUAAAAUGUAAACCCAGAUCUUUGUAAUUUACCUUUCCCUCCAAGAGCACUGCAAGAUUCCUGGUGGGUCCUGGGAACCACUUCCGUCCUCGUCUUUCUCACGUUGCUAUAUCCCAGCAUCCGGACACCAG